UACGUAGGGCGCAAGCGUUAUCCGGAAUUAUUGGGCGGAAAGAGCUCGUAGGCGGUUUGGCGCGUCUGCCGUGAAAGUCCGGGGCUCAACUCCGGAUCUGCGGUGGGUACGGGCAGACUAGAGUGAUGUAGGGGAGACUGGAAUUCCUGGUGUAGCGGUGAAAUGCGCAGAUAUCAGGAGGAACACCUAUGGCGAAGGCAGCUCUCUGGGACGGUACUGACGCUGAGACGCGAAAGCGUGGGGAGCGAACAGG
RNAcentral lists this ribosomal RNA (253 nucleotides) under uncultured bacterium. RNAcentral describes it as "partial 16S ribosomal RNA". It matches the Rfam family "Bacterial small subunit ribosomal RNA", at positions 524 to 776 of the family's 1533-position model. The record is from RNAcentral.